Non-coding RNA from Vicia faba (fava bean), 201 nucleotides. Lineage: Eukaryota; Viridiplantae; Streptophyta; Magnoliopsida; Fabales; Fabaceae. The record is from the annotation of a GenBank genome assembly.
AUGUGUUGUCCAGGUAGAGUGUGCAUGCUAUGCACGUGCUUGAUCAUGAUUGUGAUCGUUAUCGGCUUUCUCUUCGGAUUCGGUGUUUUCAAGCAUGGGUUUCACAAAAUCAAAGAUACUGUUAGUUACUGCGACUCUUGCGGUGGUGUUGGCGGUGGAGGAAGGCCUUUCUUAGGUUAUGCGCCGCCGCCAUUUUACUAG